Molecule: ribosomal RNA, 398 nt
Filed under: uncultured bacterium
Lineage: Bacteria
Description: bacterial SSU rRNA
Rfam family: Bacterial small subunit ribosomal RNA
Source: RNAcentral
UAUUGCACAAUGGGGGAAACCCUGAUGCAGCAACGCCGCGUGAGUGAGGAAGUAUUUCGGUAUGUAAAGCUCUAUCAGCAGGGAAUAGAAAAGAAGGUACCUGAAAAAGAAGCCCCGGCUAACUACGUGCCAGCAGCCGCGGUAAUACGUAGGGGGCAAGCGUUAUCCGGAUUUACUGGGUGUAAAGGGAGCGUAGACGGAAAGGCAAGUCAGAAGUGAAAGCCCAAGGCUCAACCAUGGGACUGCUUUUGAAACUGUGUGACUGGAGUGCAGGAGAGGUAAGUGGAAUUCCUAGUGUAGCGGUGAAAUGCGUAGAUAUUAGGAGGAACACCAGUGGCGAAGGCGACUUACUGGACUGUAACUGACGUUGAGGCACGAAAGUGUGGGGAGCAAACAGG